ACUCCUACGGGAGGCAGCAGUGGGAAUAUUGGACAAUGGGCGGAAGCCUGAUCCAGCAACGCCGCGUGAGGGAUGACGGCCUUCGGGUUGUAAACCUCUUUCACCGAUGGCGAAGCCGUCCCUUUUUGGGGGUGGUGUAGCGGUAGUCGGAGAAGAAGCACCGGCCAACUACGUGCCAGCAGCCGCGGUAAUACGUAGGGUGCGAGCGUUGUCCGGAAUUAUUGGGCGUAAAGGGCUCGUAGGCGGUCUGUUGCGUCGGGAGUGAAAACACCGGGCUUAACUCGGUGCUUGCUUUCGAUACGGGCAGACUGGAGGCAUGCAGGGGAGAAUGGAAUUCCUGGUGUAGCGGUGAAAUGCGCAGAUAUCAGGAGGAACACCGGUGGCGAAGGCGGUUCUCUGGGCAUGUUCUGACGCUGAGGAGCGAAAGUGUGGGGAGCGAACAGGAUUAGAUACCCUGGUAGGCUCUGCU
RNAcentral lists this ribosomal RNA (469 nucleotides) under uncultured bacterium. RNAcentral describes it as "bacterial SSU rRNA". It matches the Rfam family "Bacterial small subunit ribosomal RNA", at positions 335 to 801 of the family's 1533-position model. The record is from RNAcentral.